GACGAACGCUGGCGGCGUGCCUAAUACAUGCAAGUCGAACGCAUUUUCUUUCACCGUAGCUUGCUACACCGAAAGAAAAUGAGUGGCGAGCGGGUGAGUAACACGUGGGUAACCUGCCCAUCAGCGGGGGAUAACACUUGGAAACAGGUGCUAAUACCGCAUAAUUCCAUUUACCGCAUGGUAGAUGGGUGAAAGGCGCUUUUGCGUCACUGAUGGAUGGACCCGCGGUGCAUUAGCUAGUGGGUGGGGUAACGGCCUACCAAGGCUGCGAUGCAUAGCCGACCUGAGAGGGUGAUCGGCCACACUGGGACUGAGACACGGCCCAGACUCCUACGGGAGGCAGCAGUAGGGAAUCUUCGGCAAUGGACGCAAGUCUGACCGAGCAACGCCGCGUGAGUGAAGAAGGUUUCGGAUCGUAAAACUCUGUUGUUAGAGAAGAACAAGGAUGAGAGUGGAAAGUUCAUCCCUUGACGGUAUCUAACCAGAAAGCCACGGCUAACUACGU
This 505-nucleotide ribosomal RNA is filed under the name uncultured bacterium. RNAcentral's name for it is "partial 16S ribosomal RNA". It matches the Rfam family "Bacterial small subunit ribosomal RNA", at positions 28 to 506 of the family's 1533-position model. The record is from RNAcentral.